UGGAGGGUAAACAGAAAAGUUCCAGCAAUCGGCGCCCCAGGGGCAUUUGGCACACAGGGAAAAUGAAUGAGGAGUCAUUCAGAAACCUAAGGAGAAGGUCUAGGAGGGGCUGCUAGACCAGCCCGUGCUGCCGAGGACUGGUGUGGUGAAGGUAGUGAAGUUUUGUGGGAGCCCUGGGGAACU
Molecule: long non-coding RNA, 183 nt
Filed under: Callithrix jacchus (white-tufted-ear marmoset)
Lineage: Eukaryota; Metazoa; Chordata; Mammalia; Primates; Cebidae
Description: lncRNA (ENSCJAG00000079883.1)
Source: RNAcentral